RNAcentral lists this long non-coding RNA (403 nucleotides) under Gossypium barbadense (sea-island cotton). RNAcentral describes it as "long non-coding RNA (GBAR_LNC014876)". Lineage: Eukaryota; Viridiplantae; Streptophyta; Magnoliopsida; Malvales; Malvaceae. The record is from RNAcentral.
GGCCCUUUGACAUUUUGGCCUGAUUUUCAACUAAGUAUGAAGAAAUUUCUUGAUUGGGCUGGAUUUUGGUUAUUGGGCCUCGCCUUCAAGAAUUUGGGCUCGUGAUCCAUCUCCUACCAAAAUUGGGUCGUUGACGCUCGUAAUGGGGAUCCAAUGCGUUUUGGCUGCAAGAUUUGGUUUCUUGGACCAAGAUUUCCAAGAUUUGAAAUCUUGAUUUUCUUGAUUCUUGAAAUCUCUUCGAACAGCAAAAUUGGGCCAAGAUUCGAUUUCUUGAUUUUCUUGAAAACAAGAAAGUGAAUCUUGAUUUUCUUGUUCUCUCGUGUAUGCAUCUAAGGCCUUGCUAACAAGCUCUUGAAUGGUCUCAUUUAGUUUGGACCGCAUUUGUCGGGCCUUUGAUCUCGUU